Molecule: ribosomal RNA, 253 nt
Filed under: uncultured bacterium
Lineage: Bacteria
Description: partial 16S ribosomal RNA
Rfam family: Bacterial small subunit ribosomal RNA
Source: RNAcentral
GCAAGUCGAACGCGAAAUUUUUUCUUCGGAGGAUCGAGUAGAGUGGCGCACGGGUGAGUAACGCGUAAGUUAUCUACCCUCCCAUCUGGAAUAACUCACCGAAAGGUGUGCUAAUACCGGAUACGUUGAUUUAUCAAGAAAGGUGGCCUCUGUUUCAUGCUACCGUGGGGGGAUGAGCUUGCGUACCAUUAGCUAGUUGGUAGGGUAAUGGCCUACCAAGGCAACGAUGGUUAGCGGGUCUGAGAGGAUGAUC